Long non-coding RNA from Pomacea canaliculata, 1282 nucleotides. RefSeq lists it as uncharacterized. The record is from RefSeq and is a predicted model, not a curated record. Lineage: Eukaryota; Metazoa; Mollusca; Gastropoda; Architaenioglossa; Ampullariidae. The transcript is spliced from 3 exons.
UAGCAGUGGUAGUUUACGACUGCAAAUUUGUAGACCGCAGAGACCCGCUAAAACUUCAUGGCGGAAAUUCGAUGUCUGAUGCUUACGAGACGCAGAGCCAAAGCACAAGUGAAAGGAUACGUGUUUUAAAGUUUCUUCUUCUUGACAUUUAUAUAUGUGUGUGGGCAAAGGAACGUCAACUUACGAGUGCACUUGUCUCAACAAAUAUCAACAAUGCGCUUAAAUUUACAAAGAAAAGCCACUUGUAAUGGAGUGAUGCAAGUAACAUGAAAGUUCAGGCAUACAAGGCAGUGGCACAUUUAGAUUGCCGGAAGAUUGGGCAGACUCGCCACUUCCACCUCAGAUAAAUAUGAAGAACACUGAAGACGAGAUUCUUAAAAAUGAUUAAAUUCCACAGUUUGGAGAGGUUCUGCCACUCAGCAUCGUUAAAUGCAGCGGUAUUCAUUGUGCCAUUUACAUCACAUGGUUUUGCUGAGAUGCCCGCAGAGCGGUCCUUUAGCAAGCUUAUCGAUGGAUUGGGACUGAAUAUCAAGUGAUGACAGUUACAAGCACAACAAUCAGUGCCUUGCAGUGAUAACACGGAAGAGCAUAUUUUUCUGGAGUUCUGGUCUUCCAAGAGGUAGAGUCCUUCUUCCUCCCUCUUGUGCUUUUGUUGUACCUUUGAGGCAUUGCAUUAGAUAUGACAACAAAAUCUUAGUCAUUAUAAGUGUCUAUUUUUGUAUAAUAAUAGAGGGGAACCUCAGCUAGCGAACAUUUCGGAUAACGAACAAAAAUUUUGUUAGAAAUUUGCACCAGAUAACAAACAAAACUUCGGAUAACGAACAGCCAUGUCACCCACACGUGACCGACCAGCAUGUUAGACCAAGCACCAUUCGCACUCGAGACACAGUUAUGAUCAGUCGUUCGUUAUCUUUUUUGUGUAGAUUUUUUUUUUUUAAUUUAAGAAAUGUGUGCAAAGUGGGGGGAAAUUGCAAUUUGUAGAAAAGUUUUUCCCUAACAGUGCAAUAGACAGUAGGAACCUAAAUAUGUUCAAUGAUAAUGUGAUGUAUUACCAAAAAGCAUUGCAAAAAAGGCAGAAGCAAUAGACUUUGGACAAGUUUUUUCCUUCAACCCCAAUGUGGCAGAAAAGGGAAGUUACCCCCGAUUUUGCAAUGUCACAUGUGCUCAUGGAGGGGAUUCCCCCUCCAGGCAGUAAUUCCACCCCUUCAUCCACCCAUGCGUCAAAACGGCAAGUUUUCUUAUGUUUUAAUGCUUUCGUUAAUGUUUUUAUGUUUAUUUAACU